This 616-nucleotide ribosomal RNA is filed under the name uncultured bacterium. Its description in RNAcentral is "bacterial SSU rRNA". It matches the Rfam family "Bacterial small subunit ribosomal RNA", at positions 338 to 948 of the family's 1533-position model. The record is from RNAcentral.
CCUACGGGAGGCAGCAGUGGGGAAUUUUGGACAAUGGGCGCAAGCCUGAUCCAGCAAUGCCGCGUGAGUGAAGAAGGCCUUCGGGUUGUAAAGCUCUUUUGUCAGGGAAGAAACGGGAGUGGCUAAUAUCUGCUCCUAAUGACGGUACCUGAAGAAUAAGCACCGGCUAACUACGUGCCAGCAGCCGCGGUAAUACGUAGGGUGCAAGCGUUAAUCGGAAUUACUGGGCGUAAAGCGUGCGCAGGCGGUUUUGUAAGUUUGUCGUGAAAUCCCCGGGCUCAACCUGGGAAUGGCGAUGAAGACUGCAAGGCUAGAGUUUGGCAGAGGGGGGUAGAAUUCCACGUGUAGCAGUGAAAUGCGUAGAUAUGUGGAGGAACACCGAUGGCGAAGGCAGCCCCCUGGGUCAAAACUGACGCUCAUGCACGAAAGCGUGGGGAGCAAACAGGAUUAGAUACCCUGGUAGUCCACGCCCUAAACGAUGUCUACUAGUUGUCGGGUCUUAAUUGACUUGGUAACGCAGCUAACGCGUGAAGUAGACCGCCUGGGGAGUACGGUCGCAAGAUUAAAACUCAAAGGAUUGACGGNNGAGAGNGCGAGACGACGACGAGGGAGGAGG